GAUGAACGCUGGCGGCGUGCUUAACACAUGCAAGUCGAACGAAGCACUUUACUUGAUCUUUUCGGAGUGAUUGUUUUGUGACUGAGUGGCGGACGGGUGAGUAACGCGUGGGUAACCUGCCUCACACAGGGGGAUAACAGUUGGAAACGGCUGCUAAUACCGCAUAAGCGCACAGUACCGCAUGGUACGGUGUGAAAAACUCCGGUGGUGUGAGAUGGACCCGCGUCGGAUUAGCUAGUUGGCAGGGCAACGGCCUACCAAGGCGACGAGCAGUAGCCGACCUGAGAGGGUGACCGGCCACAUUGGGACUGAGACACGGCCCAAACUCCUACGGGAGGCAGCAGUGGGGAAUAUUGCACAAUGGGGGAAACCCUGAUGCAGCGACGCCGCGUGAGCGAAGAAGUAUUUCGGUAUGUAAAGCUCUAUCAGCAGGGAAGAAGAAAUGACGGUACCUGACUAAGAAGCACCGGCUAAAUACGUGCCAGCCGCCGCGGUAA
This 497-nucleotide ribosomal RNA is filed under the name uncultured bacterium. RNAcentral describes it as "partial 16S ribosomal RNA". It matches the Rfam family "Bacterial small subunit ribosomal RNA", at positions 28 to 523 of the family's 1533-position model. The record is from RNAcentral.